This 76-nucleotide transfer RNA is filed under the name Fastidiosipila sp. Its description in RNAcentral is "tRNA-Val". It matches the Rfam family "tRNA". Rfam says of the family: Transfer RNA (tRNA) molecules are approximately 80 nucleotides in length. The record is from RNAcentral. RNAcentral also lists the same sequence under 2 other names. Lineage: Bacteria; Bacillati; Bacillota; Clostridia; Eubacteriales; Oscillospiraceae.
GGGCGAAUAGCUCAGCAGGGAGAGCACCUGCCUUACACGCAGGGGGUCGUCGGUUCGAGCCCGGCUUCGCCCACCA